This 253-nucleotide ribosomal RNA is filed under the name uncultured bacterium. RNAcentral's name for it is "partial 16S ribosomal RNA". It matches the Rfam family "Bacterial small subunit ribosomal RNA", at positions 524 to 776 of the family's 1533-position model. The record is from RNAcentral.
GACAGAGGGUGCAAACGUUGUUCGGAAUUACUGGGCGUAAAGCGCGUGUAGGCGGCCCUGCAAGUCGGAUGUGAAAUCCCGCGGCUCAACCGUGGAAGUGCAUUCGAAACUGCAGGGCUAGAGUCCUGGAGAGGAAGGUGGAAUGCUUGGUGUAGAGGUGAAAUUCGUAGAUAUCAAGCGGAACACCGGUGGCGAAGGCGGCCUUCUGGACAGUGACUGACGCUGAGACGCGAAAGCGUGGGGAGCAAACAGG